Molecule: unclassified non-coding RNA, 409 nt
Filed under: Hevea brasiliensis (rubber tree)
Lineage: Eukaryota; Viridiplantae; Streptophyta; Magnoliopsida; Malpighiales; Euphorbiaceae
Source: RNAcentral
UCACGGCCUGCCUAUAGAGGAAAUGAUGAGGUUGCUUCCACUAGGAAUAACAGUUCCAUAUUAUCAGCUGAGCUUGAAUUUAGAAGGUUGUCUGUUCAGAACAGUCAAAACAAUAAUAGAGAAACAAGUCAAUGGGAGGGGCACAGUUUGCAGAGUGACGACUUAAAUAGGACACAAGCAUAUGGAGAUGAUAUUAUUGUGGAAAGUGAUCACACAAGAAAUUUGCAAGCUCAGUCAAUAGGAACCAAUAUUAAAUUGAAGGAGCCAGAAAAUCCAACUUCUUCAGGGAAUCUAGGUCCAAGUCAGGUUGAUCCUGUGUUUGAUGAUGUUGGUGAUUGUGAGAUUCCAUGGGAAGAUCUUGUCAUUGGCGAGAGGAUUGGUCUUGGUUCCUAUGGAGAGGUUUACCAUG